Molecule: transfer RNA, 72 nt
Filed under: Schistosoma mattheei
Lineage: Eukaryota; Metazoa; Platyhelminthes; Trematoda; Strigeidida; Schistosomatidae
Rfam family: tRNA
About the family: Transfer RNA (tRNA) molecules are approximately 80 nucleotides in length.
Source: Rfam by way of RNAcentral
CUGCUCGUGGAGCAAUGGUAGCGCGUCUGACUCCAGAUCAGAAGGUUGUGUGUUCGAAUCACGUCGGGCUCA